RNAcentral lists this ribosomal RNA (1505 nucleotides) under Streptomyces cinnabarinus. Its description in RNAcentral is "bacterial LSU rRNA". It matches the Rfam family "Bacterial large subunit ribosomal RNA", at positions 1446 to 2925 of the family's 2925-position model. Lineage: Bacteria; Bacillati; Actinomycetota; Actinomycetes; Kitasatosporales; Streptomycetaceae. The record is from RNAcentral.
AGCGGUUAGUAGGUGAGUGAUGGGGUGACGCAGGAAGGUAGUCCAUCCCGGGCGGUGGUUGUCCCGGGGUAAGGGUGUAGCCCGAGUGGUAGGCAAAUCCGCCACUCAUACAGGGUGAGACCUGAUGCCGAGCCGAUUGUGGUGAAGUGGAUGAUCCUAUGCUGUCGAGAAAAGCCUCUAGCGAGUUUCAUGGCGGCCCGUACCCUAAACCGACUCAGGUGGUCAGGUAGAGAAUACCGAGGCGUUCGGGUGAACUAUGGUUAAGGAACUCGGCAAAAUGCCCCCGUAACUUCGGGAGAAGGGGGGCCAUGUCUGGUGAGAGGACUUGCUCCUCGAGCUGGGUGUGGCCGCAGAGACCAGCGAGAAGCGACUGUUUACUAAAAACACAGGUCCGUGCGAAGCCGUAAGGCGAUGUAUACGGACUGACGCCUGCCCGGUGCUGGAACGUUAAGGGGACCGGUUAGUCCGACUUCGGUCGGGCGAAGCUGAGAACUUAAGCGCCAGUAAACGGCGGUGGUAACUAUAACCAUCCUAAGGUAGCGAAAUUCCUUGUCGGGUAAGUUCCGACCUGCACGAAUGGCGUAACGACUUCUCGACUGUCUCAACCAUAGGCCCGGUGAAAUUGCACUACGAGUAAAGAUGCUCGUUUCGCGCAGCAGGACGGAAAGACCCCGGGACCUUUACUACAGUUUGAUAUUGGUGUUCGGUUCGGCUUGUGUAGGAUAGCUGGGAGACUUUGAAACGCGGACGCCAGUUCGCGGUGAGUCGUCGUUGAAAUACCAGUCUGGUCGUGCUGGAUGUCUAACCUGGGUCCGUGAUCCGGAUCAGGGACAGUGUCUGAUGGGUAGUUUAACUGGGGCGGUUGCCUCCUAAAGAGUAACGGAGGCGCCCAAAGGUUCCCUCAGCCUGGUUGGCAAUCAGGUGUUGAGUGUAAGUGCACAAGGGAGCUUGACUGUGAGACCGACGGGUCGAGCAGGGACGAAAGUCGGGACUAGUGAUCCGGCGGUGGCUUGUGGAAGCGCCGUCGCUCAACGGAUAAAAGGUACCCCGGGGAUAACAGGCUGAUCUUCCCCAAGAGUCCAUAUCGACGGGAUGGUUUGGCACCUCGAUGUCGGCUCGUCGCAUCCUGGGGCUGGAGUCGGUCCCAAGGGUUGGGCUGUUCGCCCAUUAAAGCGGUACGCGAGCUGGGUUUAGAACGUCGUGAGACAGUUCGGUCCCUAUCCGCUGCGCGCGCAGGAAUAUUGAGAAGGGCUGUCCCUAGUACGAGAGGACCGGGACGGACGAACCUCUGGUGUGCCAGUUGUUCUGCCAAGGGCAUGGCUGGUUGGCUACGUUCGGGAGGGAUAACCGCUGAAAGCAUCUAAGCGGGAAGCCUGCUUCGAGAUGAGUAUUCCCACCCACUUGAUGGGGUAAGGCUCCCAGUAGACGACUGGGUUGAUAGGCCGGAUCUGGAAGCCCAGUAAUGGGUGGAGGUGACCGGUACUAAUAGGCCGAGGGCUUGUCCU